RNAcentral lists this ribosomal RNA (272 nucleotides) under uncultured Eubacteriales bacterium. RNAcentral describes it as "uncultured Clostridiales bacterium partial 16S ribosomal RNA". It matches the Rfam family "Bacterial small subunit ribosomal RNA", at positions 67 to 339 of the family's 1533-position model. The record is from RNAcentral. Lineage: Bacteria; Bacillati; Bacillota; Clostridia; Eubacteriales.
UUCGGUUUGAAGUUCUUUAUGACUGAGUGGCGGACGGGUGAGUAACGCGUGGGUAACCUGCCUUGUACUGGGGGAUAGCAGCUGGAAACGACUGCUAAUACCGCAUGAUGUGGAGGGGAGACAUCUCCCUUUCACCAAAGGAGCAAUCCGCUGUAAGAUGGCCUCGCGUCUGAUUAGCUAGUUGGUGAGGUAACGGCCCACCAAGGCGACGAUCAGUAGCCGGACUGAGAGGUUGAACGGCCACAUUGGGACUGAGAUACGGCCCAGACUCC